Molecule: ribosomal RNA, 253 nt
Filed under: uncultured bacterium
Lineage: Bacteria
Description: partial 16S ribosomal RNA
Rfam family: Bacterial small subunit ribosomal RNA
Source: RNAcentral
UACGUAGGAGACGAGCGUUGUCCGGAGUUACUGGGCGUAAAGGGCGCGCAGGCGGCCGCCCGCGUGUGUGGUGAAAGCUCCUGGCUUAACUAGGAGGGGUCCAUGCAGACGGGGUGGCUUGAGCGUCGGAGAGGGGCAUGGAAUUCCGGGUGGAGCGGUGAAAUGCGUAGAGAUCCGGAGGAACACCAAUGGCGAAGGCAGUGCCCUGGCCGACGGCUGACGCUCAGGCGCGAAAGCGUGGGGAGCAAACAGG